GCCUUGGUGGUGGAAUUGGUAGACACGCGGGACUUAAAAUCCCGUGGGCAGCAAUGUCCGUGCGGGUUCAAUUCCCGCCCGAGGUA
This 86-nucleotide transfer RNA is filed under the name Bacteroidales bacterium. RNAcentral describes it as "tRNA-Leu". It matches the Rfam family "tRNA". From Rfam's summary of the family: Transfer RNA (tRNA) molecules are approximately 80 nucleotides in length. Their secondary structure includes four short double-helical elements and three loops (D, anti-codon, and T loops). The record is from RNAcentral. Lineage: Bacteria; Pseudomonadati; Bacteroidota; Bacteroidia; Bacteroidales.